This 369-nucleotide ribosomal RNA is filed under the name uncultured organism. RNAcentral's name for it is "partial 16S ribosomal RNA". It matches the Rfam family "Bacterial small subunit ribosomal RNA", at positions 527 to 896 of the family's 1533-position model. The record is from RNAcentral.
GUAGGUGGCGAGCGUUAUCCGGAUUUACUGGGCGUAAAGCGCGUGCAGGCGGUUCCGUAAGUCGGACGUGAAAGCUCCUGGCUUAACUGGGAGAGGCCGUUCGAUACUGCGGGACUUGAGGUCGGGAGAGGGACGUGGAAUUUCCGGUGUAGUGGUGGAAUGCGUAGAUAUCGGAAGGAACACCAGUGGCGAAGGCGGCGUCCUGGCCCGCACCUGACGCUAAGACGCGAAAGCGUGGGUAGCGAACGGGAUUAGAUACCCCGGGUAGUCCACGCCGUAAACGGUGGAUACUAGGUGUUGGUGGCUAUCGUCAUCAGUGCCGUAGCUAACGCGUUAAGUAUCCCGCCUGGGACUACGGCCGCAAGGCUA